This 428-nucleotide ribosomal RNA is filed under the name uncultured bacterium. Its description in RNAcentral is "partial 16S ribosomal RNA". It matches the Rfam family "Bacterial small subunit ribosomal RNA", at positions 354 to 796 of the family's 1533-position model. The record is from RNAcentral.
GUGGGGAAUAUUGGGCAAUGGGGGCAACCCUGACCCAGCAACGCCGCGUGAGGGAAGAAGGUUUUCGGAUUGUAAACCUCUGUCCUAUGGGAAGAAGGAAGUGACGGUACCAUAGGAGGAAGCCCCGGCUAACUACGUGCCAGCAGCCGCGGUAAUACGUAGGGGGCGAGCGUUGUCCGGAAUUACUGGGCGUAAAGGGUGCGCAGGUGGCCUGACAAGUCAGAUGUGAAAUACCGAUGCUUAACGUCGGGGCUGCAUUUGAAACUAUGAGGCUGGAGUGCAGGAGAGGGAAGCGGAAUUCCUAGUGUAGCGGUGAAAUGCAUAGAUAUUAGGAGGAACACCAGUGGCGAAGGCGGCUUUCUGGACUGUGUCUGACGCUGAGAUGCGAAAGCCAGGGUAGCGAACGGGAUUAGAAACCCUGGUAGUCC